GCCCUUAGAGUUUGAUCCUGGCUCAGAACGAACGCUGGCGGCAGGCCUAACACAUGCAAGUCGAGCGCACCCUUCGGGGUGAGCGGCGGACGGGUUAGUAACGCGUGGGAAUGUGCCCUUCUCUACGGAAUAGCCUUUGGAAACGAAGAGUAAUACCGUAUACGCCCUUCGGGGGAAAGAUUUAUCGGAGAAGGAUCAGCCCGCGUUAGAUUAGAUAGUUGGUGGGGUAAUGGCCUACCAAGUCUACGAUCUAUAGCUGGUUUUAGAGGAUGAUCAGCAACACUGGGACUGAGACACGGCCCAGACUCCUACGGGAGGCAGCAGUGGGGAAUCUUAGACAAUGGGCGCAAGCCUGAUCUAGCCAUGCCGCGUGAGUGAUGAAGGCCUUAGGGUCGUAAAGCUCUUUCGCCAGAGAUGAUAAUGACAGUAUCUGGUAAAGAAACCCCGGCUAACUCCGUGCCAGCAGCCGCGGUAAUAAGGGCG
This 483-nucleotide ribosomal RNA is filed under the name uncultured bacterium. RNAcentral describes it as "bacterial SSU rRNA". It matches the Rfam family "Bacterial small subunit ribosomal RNA", at positions 1 to 531 of the family's 1533-position model. The record is from RNAcentral.